Molecule: transfer RNA, 76 nt
Filed under: Planctomycetota bacterium
Lineage: Bacteria; Pseudomonadati; Planctomycetota
Description: tRNA-Trp
Rfam family: tRNA
About the family: Transfer RNA (tRNA) molecules are approximately 80 nucleotides in length. Their secondary structure includes four short double-helical elements and three loops (D, anti-codon, and T loops).
Source: RNAcentral
ACGGGCGUAGCUCAAUUGGCAGAGCACCUGAUUCCAAAUCAGGGGGUUGGGGGUUCGACUCCUCCCGCCCGUGCCA